This 371-nucleotide ribosomal RNA is filed under the name uncultured organism. Its description in RNAcentral is "bacterial SSU rRNA". It matches the Rfam family "Bacterial small subunit ribosomal RNA", at positions 526 to 896 of the family's 1533-position model. The record is from RNAcentral.
CAGAGGUGGCAAGCGUUGUUCGGAAUUACUGGGCGUAAAGGGCGCGUGGGCGGUCUUGUAAGUCUCGUGUGAAAUCCCUCGGCUUAACUGAGGAACUGCACGGGAUACUGCUUGACUUGAGUUCGGGAGAGGGAAGCGGAAUUCCGGGUGUAGCGGUGAAACGCGUAGAUAUCCGGAGGAACACCGGUGGCGAAGGCGGCUUCCUGGACCGACACUGACGCUGAGGCGCGAAAGCUAGGGGAGCAAACGGGAUUAGAUACCCCGGUAGUCCUAGCUGUAAACGAUGAGUGCUGGGUGUAGGGGGUAUUAACCCUCCUGUGCCGAAGCUAACGCAUUAAGCACUCCGCCUGGGGAGUACGGUCGCAAGGCUG